RNAcentral lists this transfer RNA (82 nucleotides) under Planctomycetota bacterium. RNAcentral's name for it is "Planctomycetes bacterium (activated sludge metagenome) tRNA-Leu". It matches the Rfam family "tRNA". From Rfam's summary of the family: Transfer RNA (tRNA) molecules are approximately 80 nucleotides in length. The record is from RNAcentral. Lineage: Bacteria; Pseudomonadati; Planctomycetota.
GCCGGAGUGGCGGAAUCGGCAGACGCGCUAGAUUCAAAAUCUGGUGCCUUCGGGCGUGUGGGUUCGAGUCCCACCUCCGGCA